Molecule: small nuclear RNA, 105 nt
Filed under: Moschus moschiferus (Siberian musk deer)
Lineage: Eukaryota; Metazoa; Chordata; Mammalia; Artiodactyla; Moschidae
Source: RNAcentral
UUGCUUCAGCAGCACAAAUACUAAAAAAUUGAAAUGAUACAGAGAAGUUUAGCAUGCCCCUUGUGCAAGGAUGACAUGCAAAUUCAUGAAGUAUAUCAUAAUUUU